UUUGUUGUUCCCAGCUGAUUUCUGUUUCCUCGUAUUGUUCGUCCUCCACAGUGCCAAAUCUAUUGAUUCUGGUACAAAUUUAAGACUAGUCAAUUUUUAUUAGUAAAAUAGUCAUGUUUCUUGAGCCUGAAUUUUCAUCUUGAAAUUUCUUUUACUUGUCAGUGCAAUGAUCUCCUCAUACCGUUCGUCAUCUACAAUGCCAAAUCUAUUGAUUCUUCUACAAAUUUAAGACGAGUGAAGUUUUAGUUGUCAAUUGUCAUGUUUCUUGCGCCUGAAUUUUCAUCUUUAUAUUUCUUUUACUUAUCAGUGCAAUGAUGCAGGUGGAUAUCUUAAAUGGGAUUACUAUGGGCGGUGGUGCUGGAAUUUCAAUCCCCUGGGUCAUUCCGAGUUGCUACUGAUAAAACUGUAUUAAACUUCCAUGAAAUUUAACAAUCUCGAUUUCUUCU
RNAcentral lists this long non-coding RNA (446 nucleotides) under Olea europaea (common olive). Its description in RNAcentral is "long non-coding RNA (OEUR_LNC006187)". The record is from RNAcentral. Lineage: Eukaryota; Viridiplantae; Streptophyta; Magnoliopsida; Lamiales; Oleaceae.